CCGGGGUCGGUGCGAGAUCCCGCGGCAGGGACGGGGGACCCAGUGUUCGUGGCCCGGGCUUCUGGUCCGGGUCUUGGGGUGAAGCGCGUGGCCGGCCGGUGGCCGGGGCGUGCCGGGCGUUCUCCCGCCCGAACCCGACAGCUCACCUCGUAGGCAGCCAGGAGAGGCCUU
Non-coding RNA from Georgenia sp., 171 nucleotides. NCBI's taxonomy places the organism in Bacteria, Bacillati, Actinomycetota, Actinomycetes, Allobogoriellales, Allobogoriellaceae. The record is from Rfam.